Molecule: small RNA, 479 nt
Filed under: uncultured Glomus
Lineage: Eukaryota; Fungi; Glomeromycota; Glomeromycetes; Glomerales; Glomeraceae
Description: SSU rRNA
Rfam family: Eukaryotic small subunit ribosomal RNA
Source: RNAcentral
AGCAGCCGCGGUAAUUCCAGCUCCAAUAGCGUAUAUUAAAGUUGUUGCAGUUAAAAAGCUCGUAGUUGAAUUUCGGGAUCAGCAGGUCGGUCGUGCCACUGGUAUGCACUGGCCUUGCUGAUUCCUCCCUCUUGAUGAGCCGUAAUGCCAUUAAUUUGGUGUUGCGGGGAAUCAGGACUGUUACUUUGAAAAAUUAGAGUGUUUAAAGCAGGCAAGCGCUUGAAUACAUUAGCAUGGAAUAAUGAAAUAGGACGUUCGAUCCUAUUUUGUUGGUUUCUAGGAUUGACGUAAUGAUUAAUAGGGAUAGUUGGGGGCAUUAGUAUUCAAUUGUCAGAGGUGAAAUUCUUGGAUUUAUUGAAGACUAACUACUGCGAAAGCAUUUGCCAAGGAUGUUUUCAUUAAUCAAGAACGAAAGUUAGGGGAUCGAAGACGAUCAGAUACCGUCGUAGUCUUAACCAUAAACUAUGCCGACUAGGGAU